UCAUGGUGAAACACCGGUUCCCGUACGGUCACCGAAGUUAAGCAACGUCGAGCAUGGUCAAUACCUAGAUGGGUCACCGCUUAGGAAUACCAUAUGCUGUAAG
Non-coding RNA from Acanthosepion pharaonis, 103 nucleotides. The record is from the annotation of a GenBank genome assembly. Lineage: Eukaryota; Metazoa; Mollusca; Cephalopoda; Sepiida; Sepiidae.